Brachypodium distachyon (stiff brome) is the source of this 125-nucleotide non-coding RNA. The record is from Rfam. NCBI's taxonomy places the organism in Eukaryota, Viridiplantae, Streptophyta, Magnoliopsida, Poales, Poaceae.
GUAUUACUCCCUCCGUCCCAUAUUAAGUGACUCAAAUUUGCCCAAAUAUGGAUGUAUCUAUACCCCAAAAUUGUCUAGAUACAUGUAAUAGAAAGUCACUUAAUAUGGGACGGAGGGAGUACUUA